GAUGAACGCUGACAGAAUGCUUAACACAUGCAAGUCUUUGGCGAAUCUGUGCUUGCACAGGCUAGCCAAGGCGGACGGGUGAGUAACGCGUAAAGAACUUGCCCUGCAGACAGGGAUAACAGACGGAAACGACUGAUAACACCUGAUACAGUUGCCGGCACGCAUGUGCCUGGCAAUGAAAAGAGAUGCUGCAGGAGAGCUUUGCGUCCUAUUAGCUUGUUGGUGAGGUGACGGCUCACCAAGGCGAUGAUAGGUAGCCGGCCUGAGGGGGUGAACGGCCACAAGGGGACUGAGAUACGGCCCUUACUCCUACGGGAGGCAGCAGUGGGGAAUAUUGGACAAUGGGGGCAACCCUGAUCCAGCAAUUCUGUGUGCACGAAGAAGGUUUUCGGAUUGUAAAGUGCUUUCAGCAGGGAAGAAGAAAGUGACGGUACCUGCAGAAGAAGCGACGGCUAAAUACGUG
This 463-nucleotide ribosomal RNA is filed under the name uncultured bacterium. Its description in RNAcentral is "partial 16S ribosomal RNA". It matches the Rfam family "Bacterial small subunit ribosomal RNA", at positions 28 to 507 of the family's 1533-position model. The record is from RNAcentral.